Molecule: ribosomal RNA, 280 nt
Filed under: uncultured prokaryote
Description: partial 16S ribosomal RNA
Rfam family: Bacterial small subunit ribosomal RNA
Source: RNAcentral
UACGUAGGGGCUAGCGUUAUCCGGAAUUACUGGGCGUAAAGGGUGCGUAGGCGGUCUUUCAAGCCAGAAGUGAAAGGCUACGGCUCAACCGUAGUAAGCUUUUGGAACUGUAAGACUUGAGUGCAGGAGAGGAGAGUGGAAUUCCUAGUGUAGCGGUGAAAUGCGUAGAUAUUAGGAGGAACACCAGUGGCGAAGGCGACUUACUGGACUGUAACUGACGCUGAGUCACGAAAGCGUGGGUAGCAAACAGGAUUAGAUACCCCGGUAGUCCCUGAGCGGG